UAUCUUUAACAAAUUACACAAUCCGCACACACAUAAUCCAGAUAAGAAUAAAAGCACACACCAAAGUAAAGCAAAUACACACGAAAUUUAUAGCUUUGCUAUCUUUUUCAGCUAAAAUCUAUUCAAAACUUUUUGCUUGAAGUCAGGAGACUGAGGGCUUACGUGCAUCAAGCUAGUUCAUGUUGACUUUGUUUUGUUUCUAGACUUUUAGAUGUGAUUGUGCUUAAUUAUCCAGCCGAAUAUUUUAAUUUUGGUGAGGAGAAUCACCUUCCCCAUUGAUAUAAAUAAACACAAAAAGAUGGAUGCUUCUAAAAAUAUUUUUUUACUCACAAUUGUUAGUUUCUCUAUGGGAGCGUAUGCGAUAGACU
This 368-nucleotide long non-coding RNA is filed under the name Prunus persica (peach). RNAcentral's name for it is "long non-coding RNA (PPER_LNC002527)". The record is from RNAcentral. Lineage: Eukaryota; Viridiplantae; Streptophyta; Magnoliopsida; Rosales; Rosaceae.